AACUUUCAGCAAUGGAUCACUUGGCUCUCGCAUCGAUGAAGAACGCAGCGAAUUGCGAUAUGUAAUGUGAAUUGCAGAUUUCAGUGAAUCAUCGAAUCUUUGAACGCAUCUUGCGCCCCUUGGUAUUCCGUGGAGCAUGCCUGUUUGAGUGUCAUUCAAGUUCUCAACCACAACUGGAUUCUUUUUUCUGUUGUGGCUUGGAUUGGUGGGGGAUUUGCUGGCUUUCACAAGUCUGCUCCCCUGAAAUGCAUUAGUGGUAUGAGCUACUACGUGGUGUGAUAAAUUUAUCUAUGCCCUGCUAGUGUGCAGCUGUAUACUGCUUCUAACAAAAACCUUAUUUGUUUGAUGAAUUUGACCUCAAAUCAGGUAGGACUACCCGCUGAACUUAAGCAUAUCAAUAAGCGGAGGCU
This 410-nucleotide unclassified non-coding RNA is filed under the name uncultured Inocybe. Its description in RNAcentral is "sequence contains ITS2". The stretch from base 1 to 154 matches the Rfam family "5.8S ribosomal RNA". Lineage: Eukaryota; Fungi; Basidiomycota; Agaricomycetes; Agaricales; Cortinariaceae. The record is from RNAcentral.